GAGUUUGAUCCUGGCUCAGGACGAACGCUGGCGGCGUGCUUAACACAUGCAAGUCGAACGGUAAGGCCCCAGCUUGCUGGGGUACACGAGUGGCGAACGGGUGAGUAACACGUGGGUGACCUGCCCCGCACUUCGGGAUAAGCCUGGGAAACUGGGUCUAAUACCGGAUAGGACCGCACCGUGAGGGUGUGGUGGAAAGUUUUUCGGUGUGGGAUGGGCCCGCGGCCUAUCAGCUUGUUGGUGGGGUAAUGGCCUACCAAGGCGGCGACGGGUAGCCGGCCUGAGAGGGUGGACGGCCACAUUGGGACUGAGACACGGCCCAGACUCCUACGGGAGGCAGCAGUGGGGAAUAUUGCACAAUGGGCGGAAGCCUGAUGCAGCGACGCCGCGUGGGGGAUGACGGCCUUCGGGUUGUAAACUCCUUUCACCAUCGACGAAGGUUUUCUGACGGUAGAUGGAGAAGAAGCACCGGCUAACUAUGUGUUAGCAGUUGUGGUAAUACGUAGGGUGCGAGCGUUGUCCGGAAUUACUGGGCGUAAAGAGCUCGUAGGUGGUUUGUCGCGUCGUCUGUGAAAUUCCGGGGCUUAACUCCGGGCGUGCAGGCGAUACGGGCAUAACUUGAGUACUGUAGGGGAGACUGGAAUUCCUGGUGUAGCGGUGAAAUGCGCAGAUAUCAGGAGGAACACCGGUGGCGAAGGCGGGUCUCUGGGCAGUAACUGACGCUGAGGAGCGAAAGCAUGGGUAGCGAACAGGAUUAGAUACCCUGGUAGUCCAUGCCGUAAACGGUGGGCGCUAGGUGUAGGGGUCUUCCACGACUUCUGUGCCGUAGCUAACGCAUUAAGCGCCCCGCCUGGGGAGUACGGCCGCAAGGCUAAAACUCAAAGGAAUUGACGGGGGCCCGCACAAGCGGCGGAGCAUGUGGAUUAAUUCGAUGCAACGCGAAGAACCUUACCUGGGCUUGACAUAUACGGGAUCGCCGCAGAGAUGUGGUUUCCCUUGUGGCUCGUAUACAGGUGGUGCAUGGUUGUCGUCAGCUCGUGUCGUGAGAUGUUGGGUUAAGUCCCGCAACGAGCGCAACCCUUGUCUUAUGUUGCCAGCACGUUAUGGUGGGGACUCGUGAGAAACUGCCGGGGUCAACUCGGAGGAAGGUGGGGAUGACGUCAAAUCAUCAUGCCCCUUAUGUCCAGGGCUUCACACAUGCUACAAUGGUCGGUACAGUGGGUUGCGAUGCCGUGAGGCGGAGCUAAUCCCUUAAAGCCGGUCUCAGUUCGGAUCGGGGUCUGCAACUCGACCCCGUGAAGUCGGAGUCGCUAGUAAUCGCAGAUCAGCAACGCUGCGGUGAAUACGUUCC
Molecule: ribosomal RNA, 1351 nt
Filed under: uncultured bacterium
Lineage: Bacteria
Description: bacterial SSU rRNA
Rfam family: Bacterial small subunit ribosomal RNA
Source: RNAcentral